This is a non-coding RNA of Brassica napus (rape), 125 nucleotides long. Lineage: Eukaryota; Viridiplantae; Streptophyta; Magnoliopsida; Brassicales; Brassicaceae. The record is from Rfam.
GGAAGUUAAGAAACUGUUUAUUAACUUUUAACUAAAAAAAUUAAGAACCGGUUCUUAAAUAAGAACUUUAAAAACCGAUUUUUAGUUUUUUUAGUUAAAAAUUAAAAAAUGGUUUCUUAAAUUCC